Long non-coding RNA from Gadus chalcogrammus (walleye pollock), 1291 nucleotides. RefSeq lists it as uncharacterized. The transcript has 3 exons. The record is from RefSeq and is a predicted model, not a curated record. Lineage: Eukaryota; Metazoa; Chordata; Actinopteri; Gadiformes; Gadidae.
UAUAUAUAUAAACACAUGUGUUCUGUUACAUGUAUGUUUUCUCCUGUGUAAUUCAGUCUUCAGUGUAAUUCAGUCUAUUGAUGGUCCUGUGAUGCCAUCUACUGGCGAACUUUGGUAUUUUUCUGGAACACGUUCUGAUAUGCAUUCCUUGCACUCCAUUACACUACAUUCACUUGAUCGGAAAGCAUGGUACUCACACUCGUCUUCAUAAUUGCGUCUCCUCUGGUUUCAAGUUGGCCUUUGUAAGCAUCGUUGUUUUACCCUACUUCACCUCACCAUAAAGAGUGAACUGCAACUUCUCGUCUGCGUGGUUUGAUGGAGAGGAGUUUAUACCAUCUGUCAACCCUGGCAAGCUGCUGAAGGCCUCAGUGCAGUGGAGCUGGUGAACGGAUAGCUCGACUGAAACAGAGAGGAGAGGAAUGACGAAACGGGCCUGAGGGACUUUAGCUCUGGCUGUUCCAACGAGUCGUCGGAUGUCUUUGAUAACGGUAACGGCUGUUUGUUCCCCAAGACCGUUGUUCAUCUCAUCUCAGAGCCAGAGUCUGGCUGGAGUAUACGUUUUAUAAGGCGUUUGGGGAUGUAGAUGCUUUUAAACAGCGCCGGUGUUACAAUAAUAUUAUUUGCUUUGUUGAAAAUGAUGAGUUGCACUUUGCACAGGAUUUUGUUGGAUAAACCAACAUUUUUUAAAGACUGAACAAAUAGCACAUUUCCUGAUGUAUUGUACUCUCGGUUGAUUGUAAAAAAAUGUGUUUUUGAAAAAUCUAAAUCAAAUCUCUCUCUUUCUCUGUGUUUACGAAUUGCAAACUGUAAUUCGUCGGGCUGUGGCUGUGGUCACAUGAUGGAGGAGGAGACCGGAGGGGAGGAGGUCCUGGCCGACCCCCCCCCCCCCCCCCUCCUGGGGGCGCCCCUCUCCGUCCAGGAGUGCUUCGCCCUGCAGGGUACGGGGCUUUGAGUGUCUCUGCGUCCGCCCCCUACAUGAGAGGGGUCAAUGCUAUUGCUUAUUAGCCACCGGCUAAAGGGCUGAUUAUGGUUCCACAUCGACGCAACGAUGAACCCGCAGACGCUUCCAGGCAGUCGUGAACCUGCUUCGGUUCUGCGGCGGCUUUUAGCGAGCGGACCAAUCACAGCCCUCGCUGCUGCGUCGCCUCGACGGAGGGUUAACGUAUCGGGGAGGCGCGCGUCAGGCCCUUGCUGUGGACGCAAGGAGGGUCCGCGAGGACGUGAGGGGUCCGUAGACCCUCUUGGGCUGCGUCGACGUGGGACCACGAUCAGCCCCUAACAGAUCCUUGGU